CCUCGGUCCUCUCGCAACAACAAGUUGUGAACCCCGCCAGGCCCGGAAGGGAGCAACGGUAACGAUAAGUUCGUGUGCCGGGAUGUGGCUGAGGUGU
This 97-nucleotide signal recognition particle RNA is filed under the name bacterium. RNAcentral's name for it is "signal recognition particle sRNA small type". It matches the Rfam family "Bacterial small signal recognition particle RNA". From Rfam's summary of the family: The signal recognition particle (SRP) is a universally conserved ribonucleoprotein involved in the co-translational targeting of proteins to membranes. Archaeal SRP consists of a 7S RNA and homologues of the eukaryotic SRP19 and SRP54 proteins. The record is from RNAcentral. RNAcentral also lists the same sequence under 2 other names.